This 253-nucleotide ribosomal RNA is filed under the name uncultured bacterium. RNAcentral describes it as "partial 16S ribosomal RNA". It matches the Rfam family "Bacterial small subunit ribosomal RNA", at positions 524 to 776 of the family's 1533-position model. The record is from RNAcentral.
AACGUAGGACGCAAGCGUUAUCCGGAGUUACUGGGCGUAAAGCGCGGGCAGGCGGCUCGUCAAGUGGGAUGUGAAAGCGCUCAGCUUAACUGGGCGAGGCCAUUCCAAACUGAUGGGCUGGAGGGCAGUAGAGGUAGGCGGAAUUCCCGGUGUAGCGGUGAAAUGCGUAGAGAUCGGGAGGAAGGCCGGUGGCGAAGGCGGCGCUCUGGAACAUUUCUGACGCUGAGGCUCGAAAGCGUGGGGAGCAAACAGG